CGCAGAUUGUGGUGCUGUCCCUCUCAGCCUUGGACGUCUUUCUUUGCAUCACUGCAUAUGGUGAAAUGCAAUUGCGCAUGGAUUUCCUGGGGAUGGAAAUUCCCAUGAAACGAUGGCUGGAAGUCAAGACCAGGAAGACCUGGAACUGGGAGAGAUCCACCUGUCUCCGUCUCCAGAGUGCUGGGAUUAAAGACAUGUGCCACCACAUCUGACCUAAGGAGUUCCCAGUCUGAACAGAGAGAAGACAGAAGACUUUGGCAAGUGGAAGAUUCAGUUACAAUGAACCAAGCAUUACAGGAGAAAGGCCAGGAUAGCAAACUGUUAAAUGUGGACAUCUUCCGUGUUCCUUUUUCUAGACACCCAGUGCUGAAUGAGUGGCAAGUCUCACAAAAGAAAAAAAAAAUGUUUUGGCCUCUCCUUGACACUGUUCUGCCCGAAAGCUUGAUAUCAAACAAACAUUGCUAGGUCAUUGUCACGUGACUGCUCUCUAAAGGCCACUGAGAGGGAGCAGAGUAUUAUUUACUGUAAAUCAAUCAGUAUGUGUUUAUCCCUCCAAACAUUCAUCUUCCAUGGGUAAAGAGGAGGCACUGAUGACACCUGAGAGCUGAGGAAUUGAAAUAAACAGGAGGUGAGAGGCAGAGCAACCCCUCCAUUCGAAAAGGCCUCUGGUGUGGUUUCCUGAAGGAGAGAGAGGCCGGGUUCCCAAUGCAGCUAUCCAAGUGUCCAGACUGUCGGUGGGAAAAAUCAGGAUUAUGUCAUCUAGUCCAUAGAACGCCAGUGCCACUAGGAGAAAAACCCCCCAAUUAAUUGGGAAGAGUGACAUUUUCAUUAAAAUUCUUUUAGAAAAUGUUUA
This 853-nucleotide long non-coding RNA is filed under the name Rattus norvegicus (Norway rat). RNAcentral describes it as "long non-coding RNA NONRATT026700". Lineage: Eukaryota; Metazoa; Chordata; Mammalia; Rodentia; Muridae. The record is from RNAcentral.